UUUAGUUUUGACUGAAUACUUGAACAAUCAACCAAGAAAGCUGCUUUCUCGAGUCAUAAGAAAUGAGGAAAUUGUUGCACAUCAGUUCCAUCUGGAGCAGAUUUCAGUAUAGCAUUGUGUUCCAACUUCGUUCUCGUCUAGGCCUCCUAGGACAUUUUUAAGCACGAUUUGAAAAGUUACAACAGCAGACAUGGCAGACUUUGCACGCUUGCACAUAGAAUGUCCUCCUUGGAAUAAUUUAGUGUAAAUAGGUCUUUUUGUAAGCUUAUAAACUGUAGCAGUUAUACCUGUUAAUUAUUCAAGCUACUGAUUUUCUUGUGUUAACAUUUUUCUUUUAAAUUUUGUUGUAAAUUUUUUUUUUUUAAAGCAAAUUACUGGAAUUAAAGGCUUAAACUGCGUCUAACAUUUUAAUCUGGGUUUUAGUGAUGGGAAUCAUUUUAAGAUGUUAAUAGAUUGUGCUGUUUUAUAUAAAUUUUGAAAAUAUAAAAAUAUAUAUUUUUAAACCAA
Molecule: long non-coding RNA, 507 nt
Organism: Polypterus senegalus (gray bichir)
Lineage: Eukaryota; Metazoa; Chordata; Cladistia; Polypteriformes; Polypteridae
Exons: 2
Source: RefSeq, a predicted model, not a curated record